RNAcentral lists this ribosomal RNA (394 nucleotides) under uncultured bacterium. RNAcentral describes it as "partial 16S ribosomal RNA". It matches the Rfam family "Bacterial small subunit ribosomal RNA", at positions 523 to 918 of the family's 1533-position model. The record is from RNAcentral.
AUACGUAGGGGGCGAGCGUUAUCCGGAAUUAUUGGGCGUAAAGAGUGCGUAGGUGGUUUUGUAAGCGCGGGGUGAAAGGCAAUGGCUUGACCAUUGUAAGCCCUGCGAACUGUGAGACUUGAGUGCAGGAGAGGAAAGCGGAAUUCCUAGUGUAGCGGUGAAAUGCGUAGAUAUUAGGAGGAACACCAGUGGCGAAGGCGGCUUUCUGGACUGUAACUGACACUGAGGCACGAAAGUGUGGGGAGCAAACAGGAUUAGAUACCCUGGUAGUCCACACCGUAAACGAUGAGCACUAGGUGUCGGGGUCGUAAGACUUCGGUGCCGGAGUCAACGCAUUAAGUGCUCCGCCUGGGGAGUACGUACGCAAGUAUGAAACUCAAAUGAAUUGGCGGGG